GGGCACCUGCAGGAGGAAGGGCGGAGGUAAGCCGGGGCUUCCGAGACGGGCAGAGGCAGCUGGCAUAGCAAAAGGCCGGCUUUGGGCGGGGCCCAGGAAUAACAAGUGCGGUUGAGCCACUGGACAUUCUUUCUGAGCCUGUCCUCAUCUCCAAGUCAGCAUAAGAAAGGACACACGGCUUUCUGAAGACGAGGGUGGAGCAGUGAGGCUAAGACAGAUUCUGGCUCUCAGGAAGCUGUGGACGUAGGACAGCAAUGAGGAGCCUCCGUAUUCUCCUAGAAGUGUUGGGAUUUGGCCCAGCAGGCCCUCGUCCCAGUAGAUCUAGGUCAUUGGCUCCAGGGCACUGGUGGAGGUAAAACCCCCAGAGCAGUCCGAUGUGUCUGUCUACCAGCAGGACACCUGAAAGGGUGGGGAAAUGCUCACCAGUGCCCCCUGCUGGCCCGGCCAACCCUCAAGGCUGCAGCAGCUCCCACUGACACACAGAUUAAUAGCAGCCUCUGGGUGUAAAAGUCCCCAGGAAGUACGUUCUGCUCCCCGGUACUGGUGACCUCGGGAGGCUGGGUGAAGUCACCGGCUCUGCAUCUGUGGCAUGGGGUCACUCCAGUGGCUCAUGGGGACUCUGGAGUGCGUCCCUGAGGCUGGCUGCUCUGAGCUGUCCCUCCUCCAGACCCCACUCCUCCGCUGAGGUCUUCCUUUCCCCUGCCGCACACCUGCUCUUCCCUCCCGUGACUGUUUCUGCAGCCACCUCCCCACAACUCUGCAACAGACGCCAAGCACAGGAGCAGUCAGUGAACACAGGGCUGCCCUUCCCAGACCACCCUGUCAGGUUCAGGAACGCGCGAGACAGUUGGAGGCGAAUCCAGACUUUUCACUGCCCAGCAGAAGCCCCUCCCCCUAGGGCCCCAGCUCUGGCCCUGCCCUCAGGAAGUGCUCAGGGGGACCCUAAGACCCACUCACUCUGAGUGUGUGUGUGUGUGGGAGGGUGCUGGGGGUUGAACCUAGGGCACCGAGCUUGCUAAGCGCAUGUGCUCCACGGCUAAGCUCCACCCACAGCCUUCAGGCCCAGGGAAUGCUUCAAGUCUGAGUCUGGCUCACAGAUGCAUCUUAGGGCUCGUGCAGACUUCUGAGGUCUGGAGAGUGAGGGGGAGCUGCGGGGCGGGGGCAGGAGGCAGUUCUAGAGUGUUGGUGUAAGAUGAGUCCUGGUAGGCACGGCAGCCUCUUAAGACAUGAGCCGGGACAAGUCAUAGCAUCUCCGUAGUCCCCAGGACGGCACACAUGAAUGGCCAAGCCAGCCCCGAGGCAGGGCCCUGGAAGGAGCCCCACAGUUCUUCAGGGCACGUCUCAGUCUGCUUCUGCCUCCCCUCAACUGGCAGAGGCUCAGCAUCAUACCCGUGCCUGUCUCCGCUCAGGGCUGGAUGGGUGCGGGCCCCCUGCGGCGUGUGAGGCAGAGUGGGUGCUCAGGCCUUCCGCCUCCCUAUCGAUCAGCGCAGCAAGCCCUACUCACGUCAGCCGCCCGUUGAACCCAGCACAAUCCCUCAUGUCUGCAUUUAACUGCUAAUGAAAAAUAAAUGUACUGUGACCAA
This is a long non-coding RNA of Mesocricetus auratus (golden hamster), 1583 nucleotides long. RefSeq lists it as uncharacterized. The transcript is spliced from 2 exons. The record is from RefSeq and is a predicted model, not a curated record. Lineage: Eukaryota; Metazoa; Chordata; Mammalia; Rodentia; Cricetidae.